UACGUAGGGGGCAAGCGUUGUCCGGAUUUAUUGGGCGUAAAGAGCGUGUAGGCGGCCAGGUAGGUCAGCUGUGAAAACUCGAGGCUUAACCUCGAGACGCCGGCUGAAACCCUCUGGCUAGAGUCCGGAAGAGGAGAGCGGAAUUCCUGGUGUAGCGGUGAAAUGCGCAGAUAUCAGGAGGAACACCAAUGGCGAAGGCAGCUCGCUGGGACGGUACUGACGCUGAGACGCGAAAGCGUGGGGAGCAAACAGG
RNAcentral lists this ribosomal RNA (253 nucleotides) under uncultured bacterium. Its description in RNAcentral is "partial 16S ribosomal RNA". It matches the Rfam family "Bacterial small subunit ribosomal RNA", at positions 524 to 776 of the family's 1533-position model. The record is from RNAcentral.